This 387-nucleotide ribosomal RNA is filed under the name Escherichia coli. Its description in RNAcentral is "partial 23S ribosomal RNA". It matches the Rfam family "Bacterial large subunit ribosomal RNA", at positions 614 to 1001 of the family's 2925-position model. The record is from RNAcentral. Lineage: Bacteria; Pseudomonadati; Pseudomonadota; Gammaproteobacteria; Enterobacterales; Enterobacteriaceae.
AAUGGGUCAGCGACUUAUAUUCUGUAGCAAGGUUAACCGAAUAGGGGAGCCGAAGGGAAACCGAGUCUUAACUGGGCGUUAAGUUGCAGGGUAUAGACCCGAAACCCGGUGAUCUAGCCAUGGGCAGGUUGAAGGUUGGGUAACACUAACUGGAGGACCGAACCGACUAAUGUUGAAAAAUUAGCGGAUGACUUGUGGCUGGGGGUGAAAGGCCAAUCAAACCGGGAGAUAGCUGGUUCUCCCCGAAAGCUAUUUAGGUAGCGCCUCGUGAAUUCAUCUCCGGGGGUAGAGCACUGUUUCGGCAAGGGGGUCAUCCCGACUUACCAACCCGAUGCAAACUGCGAAUACCGGAGAAUGUUAUUACGGGAGACACACGGCGGGUGCUAA